UCCGAGUCGCCGCCGUCCCCAAACCCGGCGAGGAGUAGGGCGCUAGCGAGGAUGAGUUGCCUCCACGCUGCACCGACAACCAUCGCGUGUCCCGCAUCGACGAGGGCUUCUGAGCUCCCGGCUCGAAGAUGCAGAGCGUCGGCCGACGACGAGUUCUCCUACAACUGCCAGACCACAUCUUCGACUACCUCGUCAACAAGGAUUCAGCUGGGUGCAGAUCUGUUUGCACAGUGUGGGUGCAGAUCUAUUUCCAGGCUUUCUUUGGUCUGGAGAAUGUAACCCAGGCUGUGGAUGAGGUAGCUGCCACUGCCAGUAGCUAUUCGGAUUUUCUUUGUGCAUUUUGUGUUCCCAUCGAAUCAAGAUCACCGUGCUGUUCGUCUAAUGAACCGUGUCCUGAUCUUGAGAUUAAAAAAGAAGGAUCGAGUACACAUGUAGUUCUGAAUAGUUUUCGAUAAACUGAAACUUGGUUGGUUUGUGUAUCCGACCUCUAAAAAAAUGGUUUGGAGGGAUAGUAGCUCACUGGUGAAACUACUAAAAUCUUUCUCUUGGAUAUUUUGAGCAUAAGUUGGCACAAAGUGUAUCUAGGCAUGUAAAACGUAAUACUCUGAAUGAGGAGCUGUAUGGUUCAGUAAAUACUCCUUCUGCUUUUAUUUUCAAGUUUCGACCAUAACAUGCUAUACUAAGCAGCAACCAUCUUCUGAGCAACUUUUACUUGAAGUUUUGGACCAUAAUGUUGUACUCAUCAGAAUCAUGGGCAGUUGACGGAGAAAAAGCUGGCAACUUCAUGCGGGAGAUAAAGGUGCAGAAGCUCGUCCUUGACAUCUCCGUCGGGGAGUCAAGAUCGCCUCAGCCGUGCGUCGAAGUAACCAUGCAGGAUACGCGAUUUGGUGGUGCUACUUUUCCCAAGACUUGAGGUUAUUUUCCUCCCCAAAUUCUAAUCCUUUAGGACUGAGAAUGUGGAUGCUUAUGCUUGUAGCAAUGUUUGAACAUGGAAUUUUCCCUUCUAAAAUAUGCAUGUUAGUACUGGUUAUGAUGUUGAACCAUGACCCUGGAUCUUUUCCCUUGUUGGUAAUAUUUAGUAUAUUUUCAAACCUUGAUAUUGGACCUUAUAUUCUUCAUUUAGUUCCACCAGUUCAUGUUCUUGCUCGAUAUAAAAAGGAGCUUAAAACAAAGCUUCUUUAGAGAAGGAAACCCCGGAAGUUAGAAUAGCCAAUGAGACGAAAACAAGUGAAUGCCAAUUAUGUAUGUGCGUCUUAGUAGCCUAUAUGUGAGUUUCUUCCUACACCUGAUGCUGCUACGUUGUUUUUAUCUAGAAUGGCUUAUUAAGUUGUUGCAAAAUUUCUGGUACUCAAAGAUAUAAAUGAGAACAAAAAACACAUCAGUUUCAUAGAAGAUUUUUUCAGAAAUGGUUGGCAUUCACGCUGCAGCAACAGCCUGUCAGCUUUCUAGACAUAAGACAUGGAGUUAAUAAUUAUGCUGCUAACCUUGUACAGCAUGUUGCACAUUAAAUCUAUUAUUUUCUUUGCAAUUGGAAUGGAGGUCCUUGAGGUCCUUCAUUUCUUGUCACAUCCCUUUUCUUAGGGUGUGUUUGGUAGCCUGUGUCAUUUGGAAUUCACUCUCCCACCUCAGAUUUCUGAGCUCAUACAAGCCGACCUGAGAUUUUGUGGUGUGUUUGGUAGACCGUAUGUGCCGAGAUAAUCUGAACUGAUACUUUGUUUGGCACUGUAUGUGGAUUGAGAUUGGCCAGAAAAGAAUGAAAUUACAGUGCGGUCCAAACUCUUGCACAAAGGAUCCUAAACAAAACCCAACAAAAGCA
Molecule: RNA transcript, 1816 nt
Organism: Lolium rigidum
Lineage: Eukaryota; Viridiplantae; Streptophyta; Magnoliopsida; Poales; Poaceae
Exons: 7
Source: RefSeq, a predicted model, not a curated record